CACGUCGCAAUCGGUUGGCUUCACUCAUAAGCCACCGUGCCUCCAACUGUCGGUAUAGCCCCGCCGAAUGCUGCUGUUAAACCCAGCAGUGUCAUAUGGAGUCCCCCGCCCUGUUUAGCUAAACACUCAUGGGUUGCAGAGGGGCUAGCGUCUGAUUAGCUAGUUGGUUGGGGUAACGGCUCACCAAGGCGAUGAUCACUAGGGGUUCUGAGAGGAUUGGCCCCCACAUGGGUACUGAGAUACGGACCCAACUCCUACGGGAGGCAGCAGUAGGGAAUAUUGGGCACUGGAGGCAACUCUGACCCAGCCAUCCCGCGUGCAGGAUGAAGGCGCUCAGCGUUGUAAACUGCUUUUACUCAUGAAGAACUAUGGUCCUGCGGGAUUAUUACACGGUAAUGGGGGAAUAAGCACCGGUUAACUCCGUGCCAGCAGCCGCGGUAAU
This 442-nucleotide ribosomal RNA is filed under the name uncultured bacterium. RNAcentral describes it as "bacterial SSU rRNA". It matches the Rfam family "Bacterial small subunit ribosomal RNA", at positions 92 to 524 of the family's 1533-position model. The record is from RNAcentral.